RNAcentral lists this ribosomal RNA (300 nucleotides) under uncultured bacterium. RNAcentral's name for it is "bacterial SSU rRNA". It matches the Rfam family "Bacterial small subunit ribosomal RNA", at positions 1082 to 1382 of the family's 1533-position model. The record is from RNAcentral.
AAGUCGGAUAACGAGCGCAACCCUUACCCUUAUUUGCCAGCGAUUCGGUCGGGAACUAUAAGGGGACUGCCGGUGAUAAACCGGAGGAAGGUGAGGACGACGUCAAGUCAUCAUGGCCCUUACGAGUAGGGCUACACACGUGCUACAAUGGGGAAUACAGACGGACGCUAAGCCGCGAGGUGGUGCUAAUCCUAGAAAGUUUCUCGUAGUCCGGAUUGGAGUCUGCAACUCGACUCCAUGAAGUCGGAAUCGCUAGUAAUCGCGGAUCAGCAUGCCGCGGUGAAUACGUUCUCGGGUCUU